Molecule: long non-coding RNA, 95 nt
Organism: Haliotis rubra (blacklip abalone)
Lineage: Eukaryota; Metazoa; Mollusca; Gastropoda; Lepetellida; Haliotidae
Exons: 3
Source: RefSeq, a predicted model, not a curated record
UUCUUAUUCCUAAUAUAUUUAGUACUUACAUGCAAAUUGUCGUCAAGAUAUGGUUGAAAUAUUGCCGAUGUGACCUGAAUUUUAACUCACUUCCU